This 208-nucleotide ribosomal RNA is filed under the name uncultured bacterium. RNAcentral describes it as "partial 16S ribosomal RNA". It matches the Rfam family "Bacterial small subunit ribosomal RNA", at positions 1293 to 1500 of the family's 1533-position model. The record is from RNAcentral.
UCGGAUUNAAGGCUGCAAUUCGCCUUCAUGAAGCCGGAAUUGCUAGUAAUGGCAGGUCAGCAUACUGCCGUGAAUACGUUCCCGGGCCCUUGUACACACUGCCCGUCACACCAUGAGAGUUGGGGAUACCCGAAGCCUGUGAGCUAACUUAUAGAGGCAGCAGUCGAAGGUAGAAUCAAUGAUUGGGGUGAAGUCGUAACAAGGUAUC